AGCGAACGCUGGCGGCAGGCUUAACACAUGCAAGUCGAGCGGGCAUCCUUGUGGUGUCCGCGGUAGACGGGUGAGUAACGCGUGGGAACGUGCCCUUCGGUUCGGAAUAACUCAGGGAAACUUGAGCUAAUACCGGAUACGUGCGAGAGCAGAAAGGUUUAUCUGCCGAAGGAUCGGCCCGCGUCUGAUUAGCUAGUUGGUGAGGUUAUGGCUCACCAAGGCGACGAUCAGUAGCUGGUCUGAGAGGAUGAUCAGCCACACUGGGACUGAGACACGGCCCAGACUCCUACGGGAGGCAGCAGUGGGGAAUAUUGGACAAUGGGGGCAACCCUGAUCCAGCCAUGCCGCGUGAGUGAUGACGGCCUUAGGGUUGUAAAGCUCUUUUCUUCGGGACGAUAAUGACGGUACCGGAGGAAUAAGCCCCGGCUAACUUCGU
Molecule: ribosomal RNA, 436 nt
Filed under: uncultured bacterium
Lineage: Bacteria
Description: partial 16S ribosomal RNA
Rfam family: Bacterial small subunit ribosomal RNA
Source: RNAcentral